AUUGAACGCUGGCGGCAGGCCUAAGACAUGCAAGUCGAGCGAGAAAGCCCUUCGGGGUGAGUACAGCGGCGGACGGGUGAGUAACGCGUAGGAAUCUACCCAGUAGUGGGGGACAACUAGUGGAAACGCUAGCUAAUACCGCAUACGCCCUAAGGGGGAAAGCGGGGGAUCUUCGGACCUCGUGCUAUUGGAUGAGCCUGCGUAAGAUUAGCUUGUUGGUGAGGUAAUGGCUCACCAAGGCUACGAUCUUUAGCUGGUCUGAGAGGAUGAUCAGCCACACCGGGACUGAGACACGGCCCGGACUCCUACGGGAGGCAGCAGUCGGGAAUAUUGCGCAAUGGGGGAAACCCUGACGCAGCCAUGCCGCGUGUGUGAAGAAGGCCCUAGGGUUGUAAAGCACUUUCAAUUGGGAGGAAAAGCUAAUGGUUAAUAGCCAUUAGCCCUGACGUUACCUUUAGAAGAAGCACCGGCUAACUCCGUGCCAGCAGCCGCGGUAAUACGGAGGGUGCAAGCGUUAAUCGGAAUUACUGGGCGUAAAGCGCGCGUAGGCGGCUCUUUAAGUCGGAUGUGAAAGCCCCGGGCUCAACCUGGGAACUGCAUCCGAUACUGGAGGGCUAGAGUGUAGGAGAGGGAGGUAGAAUUCCAUGUGUAGCAGUGAAAUGCGUAGAUACAUGGAGGAAUACCAGUGGCGAAGGCGGCCUCCUGGCUUAACACUGACGCUGAGGUGCGAAAGCGUGGGGAGCAAACGGGAUUAGAUACCCCGGUAGUCCACGCCGUAAACGAUGUCUACUAGCUGUAGGGGUACUUGAGACCUUUGUAGCGCAGCUAACGCACUAAGUAGACCGCCUGGGGAGUACGGCCGCAAGGUUAAAACUCAAAUGAAUUGACGGGGGCCCGCACAAGCAGUGGAGCAUGUGGUUUAAUUCGAUGCAACGCGAAGAACCUUACCAGGCCUUGACAUCCCCGGAACUUUCUAGAGAUAGAUUGGUGCCUUCGGGAACCGGGUGACAGGUGCUGCAUGGCUGUCGUCAGCUCGUGUCGUGAGAUGUUGGGUUAAGUCCCGUAACGAGCGCAACCCUUGUCCUUAGUUGCCAGCACAUAAUGGUGGGAACUCUAAGGAGACUGCCGGUGACAAACCGGAGGAAGGUGGGGACGACGUCAAGUCAUCAUGGCCCUUACGGCCUGGGCUACACACGUGCUACAAUGGCUAGGACAGACGGCUGCAAACCAGCGAUGGGGAGCUAAUCCGACAAACCUAGUCGUAGUCCGGAUUGGAGUCUGCAACUCGACUCCAUGAAGUCGGAAUUGCUAGUAAUCGCGAAUCAGAAUGUCGCGGUGAAUACGUUCCCGGGCCU
RNAcentral lists this ribosomal RNA (1355 nucleotides) under uncultured bacterium. RNAcentral describes it as "bacterial SSU rRNA". It matches the Rfam family "Bacterial small subunit ribosomal RNA", at positions 28 to 1381 of the family's 1533-position model. The record is from RNAcentral.